RNAcentral lists this transfer RNA (69 nucleotides) under Bacillus tuaregi. It matches the Rfam family "tRNA". Rfam says of the family: Transfer RNA (tRNA) molecules are approximately 80 nucleotides in length. Lineage: Bacteria; Bacillati; Bacillota; Bacilli; Caryophanales; Bacillaceae. The record is from RNAcentral.
UGGUGUAGCUCAGUCGGUAGAGCACUUCACUCGUAAUGAAGAGGUCGCAGGUUCAAGUCCUGUCUCCAG